AUACGGAGGGUGCAAGCGUUAAUCGGAAUUACUGGGCGUAAAGCGCGCGUAGGCGGUUUGGUAAGUCGGAUGUGAAAGCCCUGGGCUCAACCUGGGAACUGCAUUCGAAACUGCAUGGCUAGAGUAUGGGAGAGGGAAGUGGAAUUUCCGGUGUAGCGGUGAAAUGCGUAGAUAUCUGAAGGAACAUCAAUGGCGAAGGCAGCUUUCUGGACUAAUACUGACACUGAGGUACGAAAGCGUGGGUAGCAAACAGGAUUAGAAACCCCAGUAGUCC
This 274-nucleotide ribosomal RNA is filed under the name uncultured bacterium. Its description in RNAcentral is "partial 16S ribosomal RNA". It matches the Rfam family "Bacterial small subunit ribosomal RNA", at positions 523 to 796 of the family's 1533-position model. The record is from RNAcentral.